GUGACCGAUAGUUAAUUUUUUUACUCAAAGUGGAUGUAUAAUAGUACCGUGAAUUAUCUGCCUUGCUACAAUUAAACAAGCCAUUCUAAACAAUUUGUUAAAGGAAAUGCUUACAAAGACAUUGCGGUAGUGCAUUGUGGAUGUAAGGUGGAUGGACGUGGAGGAGACAGGGAUGUUAAGCUCACACGCAUGGCACAGGUAGAAUGGUGGUGUUUUAAAAUCCACACUAUGCCUCUGUACAAACACAGUGAGCAAUGGAAGGCCUAGAAAAAAAAACCCCAAAUAAAACCAAAACAUGAGCAACUUUGACAUGAGAUAAUCAGAGUUUCAUUGGUAAACAAGAGAAUAACAGACUAACUUCAAUGAAAAUGCAUGUAGUAUCUAGCAUAUCACAAUCACUGAUUAAAUAAUAAAUAAAACAAUACUUUAAAUUUACUUUGUAGCAUAGCACAAUUUUAACAAAAUACUUCAUAAAAUGACAUGGCGUGAUUCAUCAUGCAGCUCACCUAUGAUUGGUGUAAACGACUUCUUGCCAUAGCAGUUCCAUAUGAACUGGUACAGUUUAAUCUCAGAGACGGUUCCUAACCAGAGACACCAACAACAAUGGUAGGCGCACAUCCUCAGUUGUAAAAUCUGUGUUGGUGGGACUUCAUUUGUAUAUUUGCUUUACUUCUGUAUGAUUAUGUAUUUCUCCUUUAAUGGCUUUGCAACCUUCUGCUUUGAACUUACUGUUCAGUUUGACAAAUUAAACAAAAAAAAUCUUCUGAAAUUAAAUGUACCCACCACUGUACUGGCCUGGAAAGGGAAACAAGAGAUACAGAAAGGGUUAGUCAAAAUUAACCACUAAAUCUCAACUAACACCAAGCCACACAUUAAAAAUUGUUAUUGAUAAUGGUCUCCUUCUCCUACUAGGGUUCUUCUGGUCACAGUUUACAAAGAAUGAUCAUGUUUUAAACAACUGAUACAGGUCCUUUUAAGGUAAAAUGAAAAUUUCUUUAGCAUAUUACCUGGUCCAAACAGCUCAAUGAGUUUCUGUAAUCACAAACAUUGAAAACAUGAAAAUUAGUAAUAGGCACUUAAAUACGCAUCGACAUACAUACGGUGUUUAAAUACACAAGAGUUACUAAUUUAUUAUGAUCAGGACAAUGAAACUGAUAUGGUAGUGCAUGUGAGGCACUGGUAUGACAGAAUCAGAGCAGUCUUCCAGUCCACCACAUAAAUUAUAGACAUAGUGUAGAGGUGUGCAUAAGGAUGGGGUCUUAGAGAACACCCAGCAAAAAAAAAAGAAAGAAAGAAAAAAAAAAAAAAGGGUGGAGCAGCAAGUAAUUUUACCGUCACAUGUGUGGAAGUGGUCAGAUAUAAAGCUUGCGAGACAAUGAAAGGCCAUGUCAAUUACACGUGAUAACACUGAACAGGCCACAGUACUUGCAUGAUGCUGGACAUGUUUACUGUGUUAAUUCAUUAAUCUUCAGGAACUGCUCUGGUCGCCAAGGUAAAAAUGACUAAUUUGUUUAUAUUAUGAAAACAGUAGGAGACAAUAAGAAACACAAACAACCAUGUUCACUAGAAAUGAUCAUGGGCAAGUACAAAUAAAUAACAAUGGUUGGACUGGUCAACAUCUGCAGGAGUGGAUAAGAGGAGGAAAAAGAAUAAAUGAAUAGAUAAAAGCCUGUACACCUAUAUGUGCAUGUGGAUGAAGGCAGAAGCCAAAAAACCCACCUGUUUGUGUUGCUUUCCCUUAAUAUGCUGCUUGUAAUCUUUUAUAAACUUUACUGUCUUGUCACAUUCCUAUGGCAGACAUCAGGAGAAUGACUUAACUAAAAUCACGUUCACAAUAGGGAUUAGACCACUUUUAAAAUUCACCCCCAGGGGAUGGUGAGAAGAAUCUUCAGUAGCACAAACAAGCAUACUACUGUACAGUAUUUCCCCCAUCCUGAUUUCUUCUGUUUUUGUGUAGCUCUCAUACAAAAUUUUUCAGAAGUGAAAACAAAAUCUAAAAUAAAACAAAAGGCAACCUGAGUGAACACAAAAUACAGUUUUAUAAUGUUAUUUAUUUAAGCCAAAAAAAAAAAAAAAGUUAUCCAAUACCAACUGGGCUUGUGUGAAAAUGUAUUUGCCCCAUAGUUACUAAAUCCCUGAAUCUAUGAAACUGCAUUCAUAAUGAGGUUCAGCUGGAGUAGACGCAACCAGGCCUGAUUACUGCAAACCCUGUUCAAUCAAAUCAACACUUAAAUAGAACUUUUUCGACAGCAUGAAGUUGGUUAAAAGGUCUUACCCAGUAACACACUAUGCCAAAGCUGAGAGAAAUUCCAGAAAUGACUAGGAAGAAGGUGAUCGAAAUACAUCAGUCUGGGAAGGGUUACAAAGCUAUUUCAAAGGCUCUGGGACUCCAAAGAACCACAGUGAGAGCCUGCCAUUAUCUCCGAAUGGAAAACUCAGCACAGUAGUAAACCUUCCCAGAAGAGGCAGACCUUCAAAAUUUCCUCCAAGAGCACAGCAAAUACUCAUCCAAGAAGUCACAAAAGACCCAAGGACCACAUCAAAGCCCUACAGGCCUCUCUUGCAUCAAUAAAGGUCACUGUUCAUGACUCCACUAUCAGAAAGACACGUCAAAAAUGGCAUCCAUUGAAGAGUGGCGAUGUGAAAACCUCUGCUAACCCAGAAGAACAUUAAGGCUCAUCUGAAUUUUGCCAAAACACACCUUGAUGAUCCUCAAACCUUUUGGGAGAAUGUUCUUUGAACUGAUGAGAACACAAAAUUCCACAAAGAGAUCAUCAUAUCUACAGAUAAGCAUGGUGGUGGAAGUGUGAUGGUAUGGGGAUGCUUUGCUACUUCAGGGCCUGGGCAACAAUAAUUGAGGGAAACAUGAAUUCUGCUCUCUAGGAGAAAAUCCUAAAAGGAGAAUGUCCCGUCUUCAGUCCGCGAGUUGAAUCUCAAGCGCAACUGGAUUAUGCAGCAAAACAAUGAUCCAAAGCAUAGGAGUGAGUCCUAGAAGUAAGUGAAAGCCUGAUCUCCAGUUAUCAGAAGCAUUUGGUUGCAGUUAUUGCUGCUAAAGAUGAUACAAGCAGAUUUUACAUUAAAGGGGGCAAUUAGUUUUUCCACAUGGGCAAUAGAUGUUGGAUAACUUUUUGCUUAAUAAAAUAAAAUAAAUAAAUAAAUUCUGUAUCGUGUGUUUACUCAGGUUGCUGUUUUAUGUUGCAUCUCGUUUUAGAUCGAGGAUCUAAAACUAUUUAAAAUCAGGAUUGGGCAAACACUUUCACAGCACUAUAUCUGGUGGUACUUUUAAAUAAUAAUAAUAAUAAUAAUAAUAAUAAUAAUAAUAAUAAUAA
Ictalurus punctatus (channel catfish) is the source of this 3329-nucleotide long non-coding RNA. The record is from Ensembl. Lineage: Eukaryota; Metazoa; Chordata; Actinopteri; Siluriformes; Ictaluridae.